This 674-nucleotide ribosomal RNA is filed under the name uncultured Alphaproteobacteria bacterium. Its description in RNAcentral is "bacterial SSU rRNA". It matches the Rfam family "Bacterial small subunit ribosomal RNA", at positions 97 to 803 of the family's 1533-position model. The record is from RNAcentral. Lineage: Bacteria; Pseudomonadati; Pseudomonadota; Alphaproteobacteria.
GGCGCACGGCUGAGUAACACGUGGGAAUCUGUCUCCGAGUGGGGGAUAACGUCUCGAAAGAGACGCUAAUCCCGCAUACGCUCCGCAAGGAGGAAAGGCGCAAGUCGCUGGGAGAGGAGCCUGCGGCCCAUCAGGUAGUUGGAGAGGUAACGGCUCACCAAGCCUAUGACGGGUAGCUGGUCUGUGAGGACAACCAGCCAGACUGGGACUGAGAACGGCCCAGACUCCUACGGGAGGCAGCAGUAAGGAAUUUUCGUCAAUGGGGGAAACCCUGAACGAGCAACGCCGCGUGGAGGAUGACGGUCUUCGGAUUGUAAACUCCUUUUGUGAGGGACGAUAAUGACGGUACCUCGCGAAUAAGCCCCGGCUAACUCUGUGCCAGCAGCCGCGGUAAUACAGAGGGGGCAAGCGUUGUCCGGAGUUACUGGGCGUAAAGCGCACGUAGGCGGUCCGAUAAGUGGUGUGUGAAACCAAUCAGCUUAACUGAUUGACGCCAUGCCAAACUGUCGGACUGGAGUCAUGGAGAGGUAGUUCGAAUUGCCGGUGUAGUGGUGAAAUGCGUAGAUAUCGGCAGGAAGACCAAGGGAGAAAUCAGACUACUGGCCAUUGACUGACGCUCAGGUGCGAAAACGUGGGGAGCGAACUGGAUUAGAUACCCAGGUAGUCCACGCCGU